CAUGCAAGUCGAACGGCAGCACAGUAAGAGCUUGCUCUUACGGGUGGCGAGUGGCGGACGGGUGAGGAAUGCAUCGGAAUCUACUCUGUCGUGGGGGAUAACGUAGGGAAACUUACGCUAAUACCGCAUACGACCUACGGGUGAAAGCAGGGGAUCUUCGGACCUUGCGCGAUUGAAUGAGCCGAUGCCCGAUUAGCUAGUUGGCGGGGUAAGAGCCCACCAAGGCGACGAUCGGUAGCUGGUCUGAGAGGAUGAUCAGCCACACUGGAACUGAGACACGGUCCAGACUCCUACGGGAGGCAGCAGUGGGGAAUAUUGGACAAUGGGCGCAAGCCUGAUCCAGCCAUACCGCGUGGGUGAAGAAGGCCUUCGGGUUGUAAAGCCCUUUUGUUGGGAAAGAAAAGCAGUCGGUUAAUACCCGAUUGUUCUGACGGUACCCAAAGAAUAAGCACCGGCUAACUUCGUGCCAGCAGCCGCGGUAAUACGAAGGGUGCAAGCGUUACUCGGAAUUACUGGGCGUAAAGCGUGCGUAGGUGGUUGUUUAAGUCUGUCGUGAAAGCCCUGGGCUCAACCUGGGAAUUGCUAUGGAAACUGGGCGACUAGAGUGUGGCAGAGGGUAGUGGAAUUCCUGGUGUAGCAG
Molecule: ribosomal RNA, 640 nt
Filed under: Stenotrophomonas sp. DB4
Lineage: Bacteria; Pseudomonadati; Pseudomonadota; Gammaproteobacteria; Lysobacterales; Lysobacteraceae
Description: bacterial SSU rRNA
Rfam family: Bacterial small subunit ribosomal RNA
Source: RNAcentral